AGAGCGCAGGGCGAAUGCCUUGGCACUGGGAGCCGAUGAAAGACGUGAUAAGCUGCGAUAAGCCACGGGGAGCUGCAAAUAAGCUUUGAUCCGUGGAUUUCUGAAUGGAGAAAUCCGGCCGGAGUCAAGUCCGGUCAUCAUAUACUGAAUCAAUAGGUAUAUGAGGGGAACCGCCUGAACUGAAACAUCUAAGUAGGGCGAGGAAAAGAAAUCAACCGAGAUUCCGCUAGUAGUGGCGAGCGAACGCGGACUAGGCCAAACCGGAAGCAGCAAUGUUUCCGGGGUUGCGGACCGUAUUUAGCAUUGUUAAGAUCUAACCGAACUGUAUGGGAAGGCAGACCAAAGAGCGUGAGAGUCGUGUAGGUGAAAGAUUGAGACAGCGAACGGUAUCCAGAGUACCGCGGGACACGUGAAACCCCGUGGGAAGCCGGGGGGACCACCCUCCAAGCCUAAACACUACCCAGUGACCGAUAGCGUAUAGUACUGUGAAGGAAAGGUGAAAAGGACCCCGGGAGGGGAGUGAAAAAGAACCUGAAACCCUGUGCUUACAAGCACCGAGAGCCCGUCAAUGGGUGAUCGGGUACCUUUUGUAGAAUGGUCCGGCGAGUAUAUUUGACUGGCAAGGUUAAGGGCCUCAGGUCCGGAGCCGAAGCGAGAGCGAGUCUGAACAGGGCGUAUAGUCAGUCGGAUAUGACCCGAAACCGGGUGACCUAUCCAUGGUCAGGUUGAAGUGAGCGUAAAAGCUCAUGGAGGACCGAACCGACCUCCGUUGAAAAGGCGGCGGAUGAACUGUGGAUAGCGGAGAAAUUCCAAUCGAACUCGGAUAUAGCUGGUUCUCCCCGAAAUAGCUUUAGGGCUAGCGUUGACUUAGAUUACUGGAGGUAAAGCACUGAAUAGGCUAGGGGCCGAGAGGUUACCGACCCUUAUCAAACUCUGAAUGCCAGAUAAUUGAUGGUCAGCAGUCAGACAGUGUGAGAUAAGUUUCAUUGUCAAAAGGGAAACAGCCCAGACCCACAGCUAAGGUCCCUAAUACACGUUAAGUGGAAAAGGAUGUGGAAUUGCAUAAACAACCAGGAUGUUGGCUUAGAAGCAGCCACACAUUCAAAGAGUGCGUAACAGCUCACUGGUCGAGUGAUUCUGCGCCGAAAAUUCAACGGGGCUAAACGUGUAACCGAAGCUUGGGCUGCAUCUUUGGAUGCGGGGUAGGGGAGCGUCGUGUGCGGGGCGAAGCAGGAGCGGAAGCGCCUGUGGACUUCACACGAGUGAGAAUGCCGGAAUGAGUAGCGCGAAAUAUGUGAGAAUCAUAUUGGCCGAAAGCCUAAGGUUUCUGGAGGAAGGUUCGUACGCUCCAGGUUAGCCGGGAGCUAAGGUGAGGCGGAGACGCGUAGCCGAUGCACAUACGGUGGAGAUUCCGUAGCCAUCAAAGGAUUUAAGAUCAGUGACACUGACAAAGGGCUUGACCCGGGCGUUGGUAGCCCCGGGCGAAAGGGACCGAAAUUAGAGUAGGGAAGCAAGUUUAGCGUCAGGCGAGAAAAGCUGAUUGUAUAUCCGCGAUGCCCGUACCGCAAACCGACACAGGUAGGUAGGAAGAGGAUUCUAAGGCCAACGGGAGAAGGGUUGUUAAGGAACUCGGCAAGUUGACCCCGUAACUUCGGAAGAAGGGGUGCUCUGGAGACAGAGCCGCAGAGAAUAGGUCCAGGCGACUGUUUAGCAAAAACACAGCUCUAUGCUAAAUCGAAAGAUGACGUAUAUGGGGUGACGCCUGCCCGGUGCUGGAAGGUUAAGAGGAGAUGUGCAAGCAUUGAAUCGAAGCCCCAGUAAACGGCGGCCGUAACUAUAACGGUCCUAAGGUAGCGAAAUUCCUUGUCAGGUAAGUUCUGACCCGCACGAAUGGCGUAACGAUCUGGACACUGUCUCAACGACCCACCCGGCGAAAUUGUAGUACCGGUGAAGAUGCCGGUUACCCGCGACAAGACGGAAAGACCCCAUGGAGCUUCACUGUAGCCUAAUAUUGGAUUUCGGUAUUUCAUGUACAGGAUAGGUGGGAGACUAGGAAACAGGGGCGUCAGCUUCUGCGGAGUCGACCUUGGGAUACCACUCUUGAAGUGCUGGAAUUCUAACCUGCGGCCAUGAAUCUGGUCGGGGGACAUUGUUAGGUGGGCAGUUUGACUGGGGCGGUCGCCUCCAAAAAGGUAACGGAGGCGCUCAAAGGUUCGCUCAGCAUGGACAGAAAUCAUGCUUUUGAGUGUAAACGCAUAAGCGAGCCUAACUGCGAGACCGACGGGUCGAGCAGUAACGAAAGUUGGAGUUAGUGAUCCGGUGGUAUGUGAGUGGAAAUGCCAUCGCUCAACGGAUAAAAGCUACCCUGGGGAUAACAGGCUGAUCUCCCCCAAGAGUCCACAUCGUCGGGGAGGUUUGGCACCUCGAUGUCGGCUCAUCGCAUCCUGGGGCUGUAUUCGGUCCCAAGGGUUUGGCUGUUCGCCAAUUAAAGCGGUACGCGAGCUGGGUUCAGAACGUCGUGAGACAGUUCGGUCCCUAUCUGUCGUGGGCGCAGGAUAUUUGAGUGGAGCUGUCCCUAGUACGAGAGGACCGGGAUGGACGCACCUCUGGUGCAUCAGUUGUCACGCCAGUGGCACGGCUGAGCAGCUAUGUGCGGAACGGAUAAACGCUGAAGGCAUCUAAGCGUGAAGCCAACCACAAGAUAAGAUAUCCCACUGAGUCAAUCAGGUAAGACCCCUUGA
RNAcentral lists this ribosomal RNA (2741 nucleotides) under Angelakisella massiliensis. RNAcentral's name for it is "bacterial LSU rRNA". It matches the Rfam family "Bacterial large subunit ribosomal RNA". The record is from RNAcentral. Lineage: Bacteria; Bacillati; Bacillota; Clostridia; Eubacteriales; Oscillospiraceae.